RNAcentral lists this long non-coding RNA (244 nucleotides) under Carica papaya (papaya). Its description in RNAcentral is "long non-coding RNA (CPAP_LNC016046)". The record is from RNAcentral. Lineage: Eukaryota; Viridiplantae; Streptophyta; Magnoliopsida; Brassicales; Caricaceae.
UUUCAUUUAUGAUAAAUGAAUCUAUUUGAAUCUACUGCUCCAUCAGUUGUUUUGAUUUUCUACCAACCUUUAUUUUUGUAACGGCGAUAUAGUGUGAUAUCCUUACUGGGUUUGUAUAGCUCACCUCUUAUUUAACCAUUUCAGAUCAGGAGGACUUGGUUCCUGAGACCGAUCUGCAAGAAGGCUACGAGUAGAUGCUAGAUAGUUUAUAGUUUCAUUUAUUUUUUUUCCAUUUUUCGUAUUU